Sparus aurata (gilthead seabream) is the source of this 4997-nucleotide long non-coding RNA. The record is from Ensembl. Lineage: Eukaryota; Metazoa; Chordata; Actinopteri; Spariformes; Sparidae.
UGAUCAGAGCUGCUGCUUCUUCCACAGAGGACAGAAAUGGCUUCACUCCUUCUCUUCUCUCUGUUCAGCCUGAUCUCAAAUAUUUCAGGUGUCUUUGUCAUUCUAGGAGACACUUUUGAGUUUACAAAAACUGCAAGCUGCCAGAAAAAGGGAGCCGAGCUGUGGCACCCACUGGACGCUUCACGUACUGUUCUGGUGGCUCGAUGGGACGGUGUUUGGAUCCUGGGUCAGUACUACGAGGACAGGAUCGACCUGAACGCAUCGGUGGUUUUGAAGAACAUAAACUUCAACGACAACGGGCUGUUCGAGUUGAGCUGUGAGGAGACACUGACCCAGCUGGACGUUGUCAGAGCCUCUGAAGUGUCAGUGAGUGCAGGUGGAGCUGUCAGCUUCUCCUUCUUCUACGUCACCUCAGGAGCGCAGGGGAAGUUCAGGCUGGUCAGAAACAGGGAGACAGUGUGUGAGCUGGACCUGUCCUCCGGGACCAUCACAGAUGGGACCGGCUCUGAGGAGAGACUCUCUCUGCCCUCUGAUUGGAGGAGACGCGGAGACCUGACUCCGACCCUGCAGCGGGUGAAGCCAGAGGACCAGGGUGAUUACUUUGCAUAUGUGGAGGGAAAAGAUGGAAAGAGAAGAAGUCUCUCUGCCUGGAGGAUCAAGGUCCUGGAUCAAGACCCGGAUCAGACCACCGCCACACCUGGAACUGCUGAUGAGACGACGGACACUCGGACACACCUGGACCCACCUCUGAAUGGAACCACUGGAGAAAGGAUGGAGACUUGGACCACUGUCAUCAUUACAGCAGCUGUGACGUCUCUGCCCUGGGCUCUUCUUUGCCUCUUUUUAGUUUGGUGGCUGAAGUUCCGAAGACCAAAUGUGUCUCCUGGACCUGAUGGUGGACGACCCCCAACAGAUGUGGAUAUUAAACUUCUGCCCCAUGGGAAUUCUGCUGGUCCUCAAACCAACGGGGGUCCUCAAGUCCAGAAUUUGAUUCAAUAGAAAAAAUAAAAUAAAUGGAAUCAACAGCCAACACUUAAAAACAUCAAGUACAGACUGCAUUUUGAUGCAUGUUUGAGAAAUUAGACACUUGCUUCUGGAACAAUAUCCCAAUUUUUAAAAUUUGUCUCAGAAGACAGACCUCAUCUAUCUACGACUCCACAGACUCUGUCAGCACAGUUUUCCCCAUCAGACUAAAGAACCAUCGGGGAGGAUGUUGUGUUGAGCAUUGAUGAUGAUCAGUGGAGCAACGUGCUUGAUCCAGUCCCUUCUUCUGUACUCCACUGUUCACGAUAUCUGUAACAGAUGUGGCCAGGUCCCUGUAAACCUCAUACAUGUGUUUUGAUGUCGUGCCCAGAAAUGAUGAUGAACUUUUGGCCCAGAAUAUUUGAUACAUUCCAUAAAGAUUUUGAUGUGAUAAUAACUCCAAAUCUGCCAUUUUGGUAAAGGCUAGGAUGUUUUAAUGUAUCUUGACAUGUAUCCUCUCCAUUCACUCGAUGCACUCGUACCCCCAUUCCGUUCCCUUGCGCAAAGCACUCGUACCCUGUUCCCGUUCACGUCCAUUGGCUCAAAGCACUCGUACCCUGUUCCCGUUCACGUCCAUUGGCUCAAAGCACUCGUACCCUGUUCCCGUUCACGUCCAUUGGCUCAAAGCACUCGUACCCUGUUCCCGUUUACGUCCAUUGGCUCAAAGCACUCGUACCCUGUUCCCGUUCCCGUCCAUUGGCUCAAAGCACUCGUACCCUGUUCCCGUUCCCGUCCAUUGGCUCAAAGCACUCGUACCCUGUUCCCGUUUACGUCCAUUGGCUCAAAGCACUCGUACCCCCUUCCCAUUCCCUCGUUCAAAGCACUCGUACCCUGUUCCCUCGCGCAAAGCACUCGUAUGUCCUUCCCGUUCCCUCAACACGCUACCCUCUCAGAUGCUCCAUCCACUCCCAAGACACCCUCUGAUUGAACACCAAACUGAGCAAAAUCAACUGGCUCAGCCUCUCUCAUCCCAUCUUCCUCGUCUGACUGAACUCGUACCUAAGCCCUCACAAACCUAUCCUCCCAUAUUUACUCUGGAGACAUGUCCUCGGCUGCGGUCCUCUCAAACCCACAGCCACAUCUGCGUAUCGACCAAAGCAUAUUUUCACAUAAUCCAGUAAUACCUGGUACACUGACCAAGACAACCCCCAUUCUGAGCCUCAACCUCCCUGGUUCCCAGGUGGUCUAGCCAAUCUGCACCCCACUCAAACCCCCUCUUCAUCGACCUCAACCCCCCUUUCCUAUCCCUUCCAAUCUUCUACCAAUUUAAAUAAACUACCAUAAUGUUAAAUUGUGGUGUGGUCUAUGUGUGGUGACUCAUGAGUCUGCAUCAGGGAACGUGUCUUUACAACACUGCAGGUGUUUGUUUCUGUUAGUUCACCACCUGUAGAGUUCAGCUCAGUGAUCAUCCCACUCACAGACACAAGCUGCUGGAAGAGAACACCACCUGUUUCAUGCUGUUCAUGGUGUCGUUUAACUGCAGGAUGGCUGAUUUUACAAUCCACCGGCCUUCAGUAGUGAAAGCUGAGAGGAGGAACGCUUUUGUAACAAUUAGUCUGUGAAAACAAAUUCCUGCAGGUGUGUGUCUGCCAUUAUUUACACAUGUUAUAUUGUGUCUGGGAUCACUAGUGACAGGGUUAACUUAAGGCGAGACAGCAAGGGUGAAUCUUGACACAUAACUCUGAAACGAUAGCACAUAAAAACUUGAACCUGAACUUGAAGUUAAGCCCAAAAACACAACAAAAGUAGUUGUCAGCAGUGUUCACCUGCUGAAGCUAACAGGUGUGUCUGUACGCAGUGUAUAUGUGACACACAAUAUACUUGACAUUUCGAUUUCCAGCAGGAGACUGAGAGACUUUACUGCUCCUUCUCCUUAUUGUCUUGGUGCAUAAUUCCUCUGGAAAACAUGUUUUUUUUUUGUCUUAUUAUUGCAUCAGUGUCAAUGGAAUGCUGCACUGCAACAUCUAUGAAUGAAUAAAUAUUACUGUCACAUUUCCUGCUAGCUGGGAAACCCUGUGAUGGCUCUCAGUUCGUAUCAUGUUUCAUUAGGAUGACUGAGAUAGUUUGUGAAGGAGGAGCUCAGUGAAUAAAUAGUUGUCUGGGAUUUCCCUUCCUGCACAACACAGACUGUUACAUGUGGGCCUGUACUGUGUUUUUUCUCUCUGCCUGUUUUUUUUUUUUUUUACAGUUUCUGGCAUGAGCUGCUGUUGGCCAAUGGAAUGCUGCACUGCAACAUCUAUGAAUGAAUAAAUAUUACUGUCACAUUUCCUGCAAGCUGGGAAACACCUUUUAUCAGCUGUAUGAAUCAGACCGAGGAAACACCCAGUGCUGGCAUCAGCUAUGUGACUGUCAUGUAAUCAUGAGGCCUGUUUGUAGAAGCAGAGUGGCUGUGUGCAUGCUGUGCCACCCACAUGUAGCAGUGAGUGUCUUUUUUGUUUAAAUAAAAGAGCACAUUUCUUUUCAGUUUUCUCCAUAUAUCCCUGACAUUGAGUUUUGAAACCAAUGGUUGUUUGUAUAUGUAUAACUUCCAGUGUUGAUGCUCAAUAAGAAAAUCCGUUGAAAGAAAAAGAACAAACUGUGUCAUUCUGUAAUAAACCAGGAACUACAGUUAUGAUGCUUUGAGGUAUCUCAACUGGAGAAAUCCUCUGAUACUGCAGGACUCCCCUUGUUUGGUAUAUUCAGUCUGACCAACAGAUGUUAACAGAUGUUUGGAGGUUAUUUGCUGCAGAAGCUUUCAUUAUUGUUAAAAAGCUCUUAUUAUUUUCACUUAUCACAUCUAUUCUAAUACAUGAACCGGCUACAUUUGGUUGCAUUCCGUCUAUUAUUUUGUAUUACAGACACAAAGUUUAAUCUGUCGUCAUAAUAAAUCUCCAUCAGAGAGAAGCUGCACAGCUCUGUUAGUAAUUCAGGAGGUGAAAUACUGUGAAAUGCUGCUUGUGAUGGUUCUUCAAAGCUAUAAUGAGCCACAGAACAAUGAGUACCAUAUGUUCACUGGCUGCUGCAUGAGUCCAGAUGUGUGUGAAGCUUCCAGUUAAUUCUCUCAGAAUCAGCUUUAUUGUCCAAAUAUGUGAACACACAAGAGGAAUCUCUCAUUUCAGGUGAUAACUGUGUGUGGAGGAUCAUGUAUGGAAUUAAAUUUGUGCCAAAAGAAACAAACAAAACGUUUUAAAUGUCAAACAAAAAUAGGAAUUUGAGAGAACAUAGAACUCAUUUCAAAAAUAAAACUUGGAACUUGCAAUCAAAUAAUUUGUCAAUUAGUGUAAAAUAUUGGUCUUUUACUCUUCUAAUAAUGCAUUAUUUUGUUUACGGUUCCCUCUGCUUCUCUCUCUCCGCUCUUAUUUGUGCUCUCUGACUUUUUGCUUCUGCUCCCAGUCCCUGCCAGCUGUGUACAGACGCUGAAAUCAGGCUUCGUGACUGCCUUCAGUAACUCUGCUGCUGAUUCAUACUCCAGCUAUUGUUCCACACUGAUUGAUGUUUUCAUCCUUCAAAGGUCGACUGGCAGGCAGUGAGUGAUAAGCUGAUCAAGGUGAACACAGGGUGUGGAGUUUAUUCUUCUGUCACACCAACAAUGUUUUGUCACCACAAACAAUGCUGAAGAUGGAUUUCCCCCAGAAAAUACAGACAAAAAACACACUAACUUCUGCCAACAUAUGAUUUUAGUGUGCAAUGUCGACCAGACUACUAAAGAGACAAGAGGAGCAGUCCAGAGGGUUUAUUACCUGACUGUGUGUUCAGAGGCUUUCUGACAUUAACAUGCAAGAGACGAGGCAGAAGCAGGAAACACAUCUUCCUCGGUGGAGAGAGCGACCUGAGAAACCAUAUUUCGAAACAAUAGAAUUUGUUGGUGGAGAAGGAGGACGUGUUUGUCUCACUGACAGAUUAAUGACACCGACACACUCACUGUAGAGGCCCGGGGCAGUUUGUUUUAGAGGAGUGGGACAAAGGAGGACAAGUUUAGCCUUUCUCUCUCUCUC